RNAcentral lists this ribosomal RNA (775 nucleotides) under uncultured Neocallimastigales. RNAcentral describes it as "partial large subunit ribosomal RNA". It matches the Rfam family "Eukaryotic large subunit ribosomal RNA", at positions 26 to 627 of the family's 3401-position model. Lineage: Eukaryota; Fungi; Neocallimastigomycota; Neocallimastigomycetes; Neocallimastigales. The record is from RNAcentral.
CGUCUAUAUACGUAUAGCAUAUCAAUAAGCGGAGGAAAAGAAACUAACUAGGAUUCCCUUAGUAACGGCGAGUGAAGCGGGAGGAGCUCAAAUUUGAAAUCUUCAAGGUUCUACCUUGACGAAUUGUAGUUUAAAGAAGUGUUUUCUGUUGGAGUUUUGGUAAAAGUUCUUUGGAAUAGGACAUCAUAGAGGGUGAGAAUCCCGUAUUUGGACCAUUAUUUCCAACUUUGUGAUACACUUUCAAAGAGUCGGAUUGUUUGGGAAUGCAGUCCAAAAUGGGUGGUAAAUUUCAUCUAAAGCUAAAUAUUGGCGAGAGACCGAUAGCGAACAAGUACCGUGAGGGAAAGAUGAAAAGAACUUUGAAAAGAGAGUUAAACAGUACGUGAAAUUGUCAAAAGGGAAGCGUUUGACACCAGUGUUGUUUUCUCGAAAAUCAAUUAAAAAUGGCCGGAUUUUGUGUUGUAUUGACUUUACCAGCUUUCUGCACUUUUUUCUUGUCUUUUUUAAUGCACUUUUCGUUUAACAAGUCAACAUCAAUUUCUUUUGUUGUAAAAGGGUCAUUGGAAGGUGGCUUUCUUUUCGGAGAAAGUGUUUAUAGCCUUUGGCCUCUGCAAUCGGAGAGAUUGAGGUCUGCAGCGUAGAUCCUUCGGGGUUAGAUACAUUUGUGCUAAGUUAUAGCCUUUCAUAGACAACUUGUUGACUAUGAUCAGUCAUGUAGCUUACUCGCUUAUGCUAUUUUACCUACGCUUAGGAUGUUGACGAUCAGCUGAGCGCG